Long non-coding RNA from Bos taurus (domestic cattle), 1143 nucleotides. The record is from Ensembl. Lineage: Eukaryota; Metazoa; Chordata; Mammalia; Artiodactyla; Bovidae.
GUAAGUUGCAGACACUUUGUUCUGAUAGGUUUAAAUUGCUGCCCUUCAAAGAGCAGGGUAGGGUUUUUACAGCAGCGGUGGGUUAUGGGAGUCUGAGGCCACAGACACGCUCUGCAGUGGUCGUUUCUGAGGGUGUGGGUUUGGUGGGUCCGCCCGGGCCGCUUCUUCCGUCGGUCUGCGGCGAGUCAGUCUGAAACAGUUCGCGUCUAUCCGGCGGCAUUGAGUCUUGGUCCUUCGCCGGAGUGUCAGGCUCAGGGGUCCCAGCCAGUGAGGGUGACAGUUUGGAUUGGCCUCGGGAGCGCAGCCUGGCCCGUCCCUGAAUCCCAGUAUUGGGUUCUGGGUGUCCCAAAAUCCCGCGUGAUGGUGAAGGCGCUGGGGCUCGGGUAGGACUGGCUCGGAAUUUCAUCUUGGCCGAUCUCCUCGGUGGAGAUGCACACCCUCGCUGAACCUCGCGGGUAGAGGGCCGUGGCGUGGGAUUGUUCACAUUCGUGCAGUAGAGUUUUUAGCCGUUAAUGAAGGGUCUCUGCCUCCGUUAUUCGGAGGAACCCAAGGAAGGCUUUUCUCUGCUCUCUGACUCAUGCUGCUAUUUUUGGUGCUGCUGCUCUCAAGAUCAGAUCUGUUCCCAGUUCCACACUUGUCUACCCAGCUGCCUCCUCGACGUCUACGCUUGGAUGGCAAAUGGACUUCGCAAUGUGUUCAAAUCAGAGCUCCCAACAUGCUCCCCUGAAGCUGUUCUUCCCUUGACUUCCCUCUUGUCAGUGGCCUCACUAUUCUUGGGCUGGUUCACGCUGAAAACAUUGGAGGUGUCCUUGACUCCCGUCUUUUACAGCCACGUCCAUUUCAGCAAAGUUUGUCAGGGUUCGACAGGGACCCUUCUGCAAGUUCCCAUCCGUCUCCUGGCUUUGGGAAGGAAAAGGGCGGGUUGGCUUCCUGAGCAGUCUUUCCCUGCAUCAGGGUCUUUGCCAACAAGUCAGCUGUUCACAUCAGGUGGCCAAAGUAUUGGAGCUUCAGCUUCACCAUCAGUCCUUCCAGAUUGACUGGUUGGAUCUCCUUGCAGUCCAAGGGACUUUGAAGAGUCUUCUCCAGCACCACAGUUCGAAAGCAUCACUUUUUCGGCACUCAGCCUUCUUUAUGGUGCAGUCC